Molecule: transfer RNA, 90 nt
Filed under: Gilliamella apicola SCGC AB-598-B02
Lineage: Bacteria; Pseudomonadati; Pseudomonadota; Gammaproteobacteria; Orbales; Orbaceae
Description: tRNA-Phe
Source: RNAcentral
GAGAUGCUGAUUCAGUGGUUGUUACUAUAAAAGAUGAAAACGGCAAUGUUGUGCGUGAGGUCGAUUUAGGUUCAAUUCCUGCUGGGGUCA